RNAcentral lists this ribosomal RNA (503 nucleotides) under uncultured bacterium. RNAcentral's name for it is "partial 16S ribosomal RNA". It matches the Rfam family "Bacterial small subunit ribosomal RNA", at positions 30 to 523 of the family's 1533-position model. The record is from RNAcentral.
AUUGAACGCUGGCGGCAGGCUUAACACAUGCAAGUCGAGCGGGGUGAUGGUGCUUGCACUAUCACUUAGCGGCGGACGGGUGAGUAAUGCUUAGGAAUCUGCCUAUUAGUGGGGGACAACAUCUCGAAAGGGAUGCUAAUACCGCAUACGUCCUACGGGAGAAAGCAGGGGAUCACUUGUGACCUUGCGCUAAUAGAUGAGCCUAAGUCGGAUUAGCUAGUUGGUGGGGUAAGGGCCUACCAAGGCGACGAUCUGUAGCGGGUCUGAGAGGAUGAUCCGACACACUGGGACUGAGACACGGCCCAGACUCCUACGGGAGGCAGCAGUGGGGAAUAUUGGACAAUGGGGGGAACCCUGAUCCAGCCAUGCCGCGUGUGUGAAGAAGGCCUUAUGGUUGUAAAGCACUUUAAGCGAGGAGGAGGCUUACCUAGUUAAUACCUGGGAUAAGUGGACGUUACUCGCAGAAUAAGCACCGGCUAACUCUGUGCCAGCCGCCGCAGUAA